CCGCGCCUCUGACGCGCACCGUGUGCGACGGUCCGUGUCGAGAGGGUGGUGUCGGUCCGGGUGACGACAAAGGAAAGGACAAGAUUGGGCGGUGCCCGCGAGUCUAGGCCUAGAGAAGAGGGCGGAAGUGGGCCCCGCGUCUGCCGGGAGAUUCAAAGCGUGAGAGAACUUGAGCUGAAGAGGCAGAACCGGAGAGGCCUGCAGUGUCAAUGACCACCUUUCAAAAAGGGGAAGUCCUUCGAGCCGGAUUCGAACCAGCGACCUAAGGAUGACCGAAGUGUCUAGGUUGGCUCGAUAAAUGAUAUAAUUAUGCAAACACAGACAUUUGGGUUGAAGAGGAUCCCAAAGUUGUGAACAGAGCAAUAUCCAGUGCAUUUUUGUAUCAUUGUGAUUCUCCUUUCUGAAAAUCUAAUGGGAAAUCGUGUGUAUUCCUAGCUCUAAUGAUGAAAUAUGUGGAGUGUGUGUGUGAAUUUUCUUACUUGGAUAAAUAAUUUGGGUGGUUCAUAUUAUAUCGCAUAAUUAUUGUGGAGCAAUUAAAGUGAAACAAA
Molecule: long non-coding RNA, 548 nt
Organism: Mesoplodon densirostris (Blainville's beaked whale)
Lineage: Eukaryota; Metazoa; Chordata; Mammalia; Artiodactyla; Ziphiidae
Exons: 3
Source: RefSeq, a predicted model, not a curated record